RNAcentral lists this ribosomal RNA (1488 nucleotides) under metagenome. RNAcentral describes it as "bacterial LSU rRNA". It matches the Rfam family "Bacterial large subunit ribosomal RNA", at positions 1406 to 2925 of the family's 2925-position model. The record is from RNAcentral.
CUGACGUAAGCGAUGGAUAACAGGUUUAGAUUCCUGUACCACGCAUUAUCAGAACUGUAGGGACGCAUGUGGAAAGCACGGGCCGGGAAUGGAAAGACCGGUACAAGCGGGGUAGGUGUACAAUAGGCAAAUCCGUUGUAUAAUCCGAAGACGUGAUGUGGAGCGAAAUAAAGUAGUGAAGCGUGUGAGCCAUGUGCCGAGAAAAGCUGCUAUUGUGUAAUGCGUGCCCGUACCGUAAACCGACACAGGUGGAUGAGGAGAGAAUCCUAAGGCCGGCGGAAGAAGCAUUGUUAAGGAAUUCGGCAAAAUGACCCCGUAACUUCGGGAGAAGGGGUGCCUGCGAGAGCAGGCCGCAGAGAAUAGGCUCAAGCAACUGUUUAGCAAAAACACAGGUCUAUGCGAAACCGAAAGGUGAAGUAUAUGGGCUGACGCCUGCCCGGUGCUGGAAGGUUAAGAGGAGAGGUUAGCUUCGGCGAAGCUUUGAAUUUAAGCCCCAGUAAACGGCGGCCGUAACAAUAACGGUCCUAAGGUAGCGAAAUUCCUUGUCGGGUAAGUUCCGACCCGCACGAAAGGCGUAAUGAUUUGAGCACUGUCUCGACGAUGCAUCCGGUGAAAUUGAAGUACCAGUGAAGAUGCUGGUUACCCGCGCCAGGACGGAAAGACCCCAUGGAGCUUUACUCCAGUUUGAUACUGGGAUUCGGUACUGCAUGUACAGGAUAGGUGGGAGACGAAGAAGGAUAGACGCCAGUCUGUCCGGAGUCGCUGUUGGGAUACCACCCCUGUAGUACUGGGUUUCUAACCAGUUGCCAUGAACUGGCAAUGGGACAAUGUCAGGCGGGGAGUUUGACUGGGGCGGUCGCCUCCGAAAGGGUAUCGGAGGCGCUCAAAGGUUCCCUCAGAAUGGUUGGAAACCAUUUGAAGAGUGCAAAGGCAGAAGGGAGCUUGACUGCGACACCGACGGGUGGAGCAGGUACGAAAGUAGGACUUAGUGAUCCGGUGGUAUAAAGUGGGAUUGCCAUCGCUCAACGGAUAAAAGCUACCCUGGGAUAACAGGCUUAUCACUCCCAAGAGUUCACAUCGACGGAGUGGUUUGGCACCUCGAUGUCGGCUCAUCGCAUCCUGGGGCUGUAGCAGGUCCCAAGGGUUGGGCUGUUCGCCCAUUAAAGCGGUACGCGAGCUGGGUUCAGAACGUCGUGAGACAGUUCGGUCCCUAUCCGGCGCGGGCGGAGGAUAUUUGAGAGGAGCUGUCCUUAGUACGAGAGGACCGGGAUGGACGGACCACUGGUGUAUCUGUUGUCGACCAACGGCAUGGCAGAGUAGCCAAGUCUGGAAGGGAUAAACGCUGAAGGCAUCUAAGCGUGAAGCCCCCCUCAAGAUGAGAUAUCCCUCCUUCGGGAGUAAGACCCCUUGAAGACUACAAGGUAGAUAGGGCAGAGGUGGAAGCAUGGCAACAUGUGGAGCUGACUGUUACUAAUAGGUCGAGGGCUC